GGCUGAAGGUUAGGAUCCCUAGGAGCAGAAAUAGAGGAGGAGGAUGGUGAAGUGGUAGUAGUGGGCUGAUUGUUGGCAUUUGAAGAGGGUGAAGGAGUAGGGUUAGUGUUGGUUGUUUGUGUUAUAGGGUUGGCUGACACAGAGGCAGUAGGUGUGUGGCUGGAAUUGAAUUGAGAAGAAGAAGAGGAGUGUGAGGUAGUGGAAGCAGUAGGAACGGGAAAAACAUUAGGGAAAGCUUGUGUGUUAAGGGUUACUUUAGAUGAAGAAGAGGAUAGAAUGGUUGA
Molecule: long non-coding RNA, 284 nt
Filed under: Lathyrus oleraceus (garden pea)
Lineage: Eukaryota; Viridiplantae; Streptophyta; Magnoliopsida; Fabales; Fabaceae
Description: Pisum sativum (pea) long non-coding RNA (PSAT_LNC020860)
Source: RNAcentral